AGAGAGAGACAUGCGCGCAUAUCAAUAAGCGGAGGAAAAGAAACUAACUAGGAUUCCCUCAGUAACGGCGAGUGAAGCGGGAAGAGCUCAAAUUUGAAAUCUUCAAGGUUCUACCUUGACGAAUUGUAGUUUAAAGAAGUGUUUUCUGUUGGAGUUUUGGUAAAAGUUCUUUGGAAUAGGACAUCAUAGAGGGUGAGAAUCCCGUAUUUGACCAUUAUUUCCAGCUUUGUGAUACACUUUCAAAGAGUCGGAUUGUUUGGGAAUGCAGUCCAAAAUGGGUGGUAAAUUUCAUCUAAAGCUAAAUACUGGCGAGAGACCGAUAGCGAACAAGUACCGUGAGGGAAAGAUGAAAAGAACUUUGAAAAGAGAGUUAAACAGUACGUGAAAUUGUCAAAAGGGAAGCGUUUGACACCAGUGUUGUUUUUCUGAAAAUCAAUUAAAAAAGGCAGGAUUUUGUGUUGUAUUGACUUUAUCAGCUUUCUGCACUCUUUUCUUGUCUUUUUUAAUGCACUUUUCGUUUAACAAGUCAACAUCAAUUUCUUUUGUUGUAAAAGGGUCAUUGGAAGGUGGCUUUCUUUUCGGAGAAAGUGUUUAUAGCCUUUGACUCCUGCAAUCGGAGAGACUGAGGUCUGCAGCGUAGAUCCUUCGGGGUUAGAUACAUUUGUGCUAAGUUAUAGCUUUUUAUAGACAACUUGUUGACUAUGAUUAGUCUUGUAGCCUACUCGCUUAUGCUAUUUUACCUACGCUUAGGAUGUUGAUGUGAUACUGCGAGC
RNAcentral lists this ribosomal RNA (773 nucleotides) under uncultured Neocallimastigales. Its description in RNAcentral is "partial large subunit ribosomal RNA". It matches the Rfam family "Eukaryotic large subunit ribosomal RNA", at positions 23 to 645 of the family's 3401-position model. The record is from RNAcentral. Lineage: Eukaryota; Fungi; Neocallimastigomycota; Neocallimastigomycetes; Neocallimastigales.